UACGGGGGGGGCAAGCGUUGUUCGGAAUUACUGGGCGUAAAGGGCUCGUAGGUGGCCAAUUAAGUCAGACGUGAAAUCCCCAGGCUUAACCUGGGAACUGCGUCUGAUACUGGAUGGCUUGAGUUCGGGAGAGGGAUGCGGAAUUCCAGGUGUAGCGGUGAAAUGCGUAGAUAUCUGGAGGAACACCGGUGGCGAAGGCGGCAUCCUGGACCGACACUGACACUGAGGAGCGAAAGCCAGGGGAGCAAACGGG
This 253-nucleotide ribosomal RNA is filed under the name uncultured bacterium. RNAcentral describes it as "partial 16S ribosomal RNA". It matches the Rfam family "Bacterial small subunit ribosomal RNA", at positions 524 to 776 of the family's 1533-position model. The record is from RNAcentral.